AGUUCCGGGAGAGGGAUGUUGGUGCCAGGCACUUGGUGAACGAAGUGCUGGCUACAAGGGAUCUGGGUGCAGAUGCUCAGAAUCCCCUUGCUUCCCAUCUUAAUAAGUCUGGAAGGCAGUACGAGAAGGAUGGGGCAGGAAGACCUAUUGAUUGCCUGGAGAGAGGGUGUAGAGAGUCCCCCAAGGAAUACCUAUGCUAAUAAGCCGGAGAAAUGAAGAACCAGCCAAAGAAAGGAGGUGAGAAAUAAGGGUAGUUUUAAACGCCAGAAGAGGAAAACCAAGAUAACCUAAGCAGAAAGAGGGGGAGCAUAAAAAGAAGAAAAGCAAGUGAGGAGAGGAGCCAGUGCACAGAGAAGAUGCGCUCCCCUCAGAAUCACUGGGGCAUCAACGCAGAAGAAAUCCACCCAGUGUUAUCUUGGUUCUGAAGGACCAUGGAAGACGAGAAAAUCGGGGCCGGGGGAUUGGAGUAAAAUGAUCUUUGUGGAGAAAAAGUAUAAAACAGUUACUGAAGCUGGACAUAGUAAACACGGGGCUCGUUAUCAAAUGAAAGGGAAGACCUCCCAUUUGAUAUACUUGUCCAGCUUGAGCUCCUUGUCAAGUUUCCACCGAGUCAUUUUGUGUCUUUAUCCCCAGCACUUGCUGAGUCUGAAACUCAAGCAAGUCUGUGUUUUCUCAGUUUUCUGUUCUAAAGGGCAGCCGGGUUAUCUGGAGGCAGAGCUUGUUGCUCAGCCAGAUUUGGCUCUCUGUCAUCCACAGAAAAAAAUGACCCAGUGAGCUCAUUUCCAAUCACCAAGUGCUGCUGCCAGGAAGAGUUCCAAAGCCAAGAACACAAAGGAGAGGGGGCCGUGCUUCCUGCCUCCGGUGGGCUCCUGCUUUCCUUCAUCGCUAGGCUAUGGAGUUAUCAGUUGCUGCCAUAGAGGCUAACCCCAGGAUAAAAGGGAGCAUGCCCUGCACAAAGCGGGAACCACACACAGCUUUGAGAGCUAAGGGGGAAGAACCUUGAGGAGAGGAAGACGAUGUGGUCCAGCUUGUGUACAUCAACUGGUUAGGUCUGCGCUCCAAAGAGUCAGACUGACAAUUUCACGAAGGGUUCUGAUUCAACUGCUCAUUUAUAAAAAACACUUAAAGGGGGGUGAUGAGGGAUACUGAAGGGGCAAAAUGUUUGUUUCAGAAUUCUUUCAGAAUUUAUCUUAGAGCAAAGAAGAACCAUGCCGAUAUACAAAGUAGUCACGAACUUUAUAUAAACAUCAUGUCAGAAAAAGGCUGCACAAAACUCCCCAUCAGUUGUUGACCAACUCACCUGUGAAGGAUGUCAGCUCACCUGUGAAGGAUGUCAGCUCACCUGUGAAGGAUGUCAGCUCACCUGUGAAGGAUGUCAGCUCACCUGUGAAGGAUGUCUCUCAAGCUGCUCUAGCUGGAAUGGGUGCACUGACGCCUAAGCCCAGGGAAGGCUCCAUUCAUUGAGGUCUAAGGAGAGAAUCAAGCGACUGAGAGUGAGUUAGUAUCUCACUCAGUUCACCAAGCAGAUAGAAAACACCUCCAAGGAUAUAGGAGUCUGAAGCAGAGAGGAACAACAGACGCUCAAUAGUUUCCUGAUCACAGCCAACAGUUUCAAGUCCAGUCAGCAAAUGCACUGGGUUUGGGGUGAGAAUCCUUGUGUGGUUCCCGGUGAGGUAAAUGUUUGCCUGUGAGACUGCAAACAUGUCAUUUGAGUUUUCUACGUUGAAAUAGAGGCAGCGUCUCAGGAAUAAAUUGCAGACUGGUGAGGGCUUCCACCGAGGUAUGGAGCCCUAAGACACUGUGUAAGCUUGAAAACAUUUCAGAAGGUAGAUUUUAUUUAAAGGGAUCAUGAUGAGACUUAAACAUGUGACAGCAUAUUAAAACCUUAGAACAUAGUAUUUUAGAAAAAAAAAAAAAGACAA
Long non-coding RNA from Peromyscus eremicus (cactus mouse), 1922 nucleotides. RefSeq lists it as uncharacterized. The transcript has 2 exons. Lineage: Eukaryota; Metazoa; Chordata; Mammalia; Rodentia; Cricetidae. The record is from RefSeq and is a predicted model, not a curated record.